This 27-nucleotide non-coding RNA is filed under the name Homo sapiens (human). Lineage: Eukaryota; Metazoa; Chordata; Mammalia; Primates; Hominidae. The record is from RNAcentral.
UGGUGAUGUGAGUCGGACAGUCUGACC